UGACGAGUGGCGGACGGGUGAGUAAUGCUUAGGAACUUGCCUUUGCGAGGGGGAUAACAGUUGGAAACGACUGCUAAUACCGCAUAAUGUCUUCGGACCAAACGGGGCUUCGGCUCCGGCGCAAAGAGAGGCCCAAGUGAGAUUAGCUAGUUGGUAAGGUAACGGCUUACCAAGGCGACGAUCUCUAGCUGUUCUGAGAGGAAGAUCAGCCACACUGGGACUGAGACACGGCCCAGACUCCUACGGGAGGCAGCAGUGGGGAAUAUAGCACAAUGGGGGAAACCCUGAUGCAGCCAUGCCGCGUGUGCGAAGAAGGCCUUCGGGUUGUAAGGCACUUUCAGUUGUGAGGAAAAGUUAGUAGUUAAUACCUGCUAGCCGUGACGUUAACAACAGAAGAAGCACCGGCUAACUCCGUGCCAGCAGCCGCGGUAAUACGGAGGGUGCGAGCGUUAAUCGGAAUUACUGGGCGUAAAGCGCACGCAG
Molecule: ribosomal RNA, 483 nt
Filed under: uncultured bacterium
Lineage: Bacteria
Description: bacterial SSU rRNA
Rfam family: Bacterial small subunit ribosomal RNA
Source: RNAcentral